UCCAUAUAUAUUUAUUAAAGAUAUUAACAAAAAGCAGCUCUCACCUUCUUGUGAAUCAGAUCCAAAUCCCUUAACGUCUUCAUUGAUUCAGAUCAGGACCUGGAAGGGAAGACCUCCUUCACUGUUGCUGAGACUGCGAGCUCUUGGAAGACGGUGACUGUCUUUUUGUCUCUCUCUCUCCCCAGAACUCAGCAGAGUAACCCAUGACUUGUUUGACUGAACAGAGUGCCCAUGGGUUCAGUGCUCUGCUCUAGUCUCCACCUGCCAGUUUCCUUCUGACACUGCUAUGAGCAACCCCCAUAUUUAUGCAGAUGAGUGCUCCAUAACUCCACUUCUCUUCAAUAAGAAGAAAGAGCAACACCGCUAACAACUUAUUGUUGGUGGUGAGACUUUGGGCAAAUUAAUGAGCUCUCUGUUUAUUCAUUGAUAAAAUGUAGAGAAUGCCCCUGGCUUCCCACACUUGUGGUGAGGACUCAGUAAGGUUCUUGUGGACUGAUUGUGUCCCUCUCUAAAUUCCCCAAUUCACACACUGAAGCUCUAAUCUCCAGUGUGAUUGUUUUUGGAGUUAGGCCCUAUAUGGAGGUAAUCAAAUUAACAGAGGUCAUGAGAGUGGGGCCUUAAUCCAACAGGACUAAUAUUCUUAUAAAAUGGGGAAGAAACAGGAUACCAGAGAUCUCUAUCUCUCUCCCCCUUCUCUCUCUCUCUCUCUCUCUCUCUCUCUCUCUCUCUGUGUC
Molecule: long non-coding RNA, 734 nt
Filed under: Homo sapiens (human)
Lineage: Eukaryota; Metazoa; Chordata; Mammalia; Primates; Hominidae
Description: HSALNT0296942
Source: RNAcentral